GACAUUUGGCUAUGCCCAUCGCAUUAUUUUUUGCCCUCUAUUUGUGUCUGUGCUUGCAAAUUUUAUGGUUUUUUUGGAAAGGGGUGUUUGCUGU
Molecule: non-coding RNA, 94 nt
Filed under: Palpitomonas bilix
Lineage: Eukaryota
Source: RNAcentral